GACAGAGGAUGCAAGCGUUAUCCGGAAUGAUUGGGCGUAAAGCGUCUGUAGGUGGCUUUCAAGUCCGCCGUCAAAUCCCAGGGCUCAACCCUGGACAGGCGGUGGAAACUACCAAGCUGGAGUACGGUAGGGGCAGAGGGAAUUUCCGGUGGAGCGGUGAAAUGCAUUGAGAUCGGAAAGAACACCAACGGCGAAAGCACUCUAGCUGGGCCGACACUGACACUGAGAGACGAAAGCUAGGGGAGCAAAUGGGAUUAGGAAACCCUUGUGAG
Molecule: ribosomal RNA, 272 nt
Filed under: uncultured bacterium
Lineage: Bacteria
Description: partial 16S ribosomal RNA
Rfam family: Bacterial small subunit ribosomal RNA
Source: RNAcentral